RNAcentral lists this ribosomal RNA (397 nucleotides) under uncultured bacterium. Its description in RNAcentral is "partial 16S ribosomal RNA". It matches the Rfam family "Bacterial small subunit ribosomal RNA", at positions 523 to 918 of the family's 1533-position model. The record is from RNAcentral.
AUACGUAGGGGGCGAGCGUUGUCCGGAAUGAUUGGGCGUAAAGGGCGCGUAGGCGGCGCGGUAAGUCUGGAGUGAAAGUCCUGCUUUCAAGGUGGGAAUUGCUUUGGAUACUGUCGGGCUUGAGUGCAGGAGAGGUAAGUGGAAUUACCAGUGUAGCGGUGAAAUGCGUAGAGAUUGGGAGGAACACCAGUGGCGAAGGCGACUUACUGGACUGUAACUGACGCUGAGGCGCGAAAGUGUGGGGAGCAAACAGGAUUAGAUACCCUGGUAGUCCACACUGUAAACGAUGAAUGCUAGGUGUAGGGGGUAUCGACCCCUUCUGUGCCGCAGUCAACACAAUAAGCAUUCCGCCUGGGGAGUACGGCCGCAAGGUUGAAACUCAAAGGAAUUGACGGGG